GACGAACGCUGGCGGCGUGCUUAACACAUGCAAGUCGAACGGAAAGGCCCUGCUUGCAGGGUACUCGAGUGGCGAACGGGUGAGUAACACGUGGGUGAUCUGCCCUGCACUUCGGGAUAAGCCUGGGAAACUGGGUCUAAUACCGGAUAGGAGCCAUUUUUAGUGUGAUGGUUGGAAAGUUUUUUCGGUGUAGGAUGGGCUCGCGGCCUAUCAGCUUGUUGGUGGGGUAAUGGCCUACCAAGGCGGCGACGGGUAGCCGGCCUGAGAGGGUGGACGGCCACAUUGGGACUGAGAUACGGCCCAGACUCCUACGGGAGGCAGCAGUGGGGAAUAUUGCACAAUGGGCGCAAGCCUGAUGCAGCGACGCCGCGUGGGAGAUGACGGCCUUCGGGUUGUAAACUCCUUUCGCUAGGGACGAAGCUUUUUGUGACGGUACCUAGAUAAGAAGCACCGGCUAACUACGUG
Molecule: ribosomal RNA, 465 nt
Filed under: uncultured bacterium
Lineage: Bacteria
Description: partial 16S ribosomal RNA
Rfam family: Bacterial small subunit ribosomal RNA
Source: RNAcentral